RNAcentral lists this ribosomal RNA (536 nucleotides) under uncultured Methanosarcinales archaeon. RNAcentral's name for it is "bacterial SSU rRNA". It matches the Rfam family "Archaeal small subunit ribosomal RNA", at positions 339 to 875 of the family's 1478-position model. The record is from RNAcentral. Lineage: Archaea; Methanobacteriati; Methanobacteriota; Methanomicrobia; Methanosarcinales.
GCGCGAAAACUUUACAAUGCGGGAAACCGCGAUAAGGGGACACCGAGUGCCAGCAUCCUAUGUUGGCUGUCCAUAUGUAUAAAUCACAUGUGUUAGCAAGGGCCGGGCAAGACCGGUGCCAGCCGCCGCGGUAACACCGGCGGCCCGAGUGGUGGCCACUAUUAUUGGGUCUAAAGGGUCCGUAGCCGGUUUGGUCAGUCUUCCGGGAAAUCUGACGGCUUAACCGUUAGGCUUUCGGGGGAUACUACCAGGCUUGGGACCGGGAGAGGUAAGAGGUACUACGGGGGUAGGAGUGAAAUCUUGUAAUCCCCGUGGGACCACCAGUGGCGAAGGCGUCUCACCAGAACGGACCUGACGGCAAGGGACGAAAGCUAGGGGCACGAACCGGAUUAGAUACCCGGGUAGUCCUAGCCGUAAACGAUACUCGCUAGGUGUCGGCCACGGUGCGACCGUUGUCGGUGCCGUAGGGAAGCCGUGAAGCGAGCCACCUGGGAAGUACGGCCGCAAGGCUGAAACUUAAAGGAAUUGGCGGGGGA